GCCCAGGUGGCGAAACUGGCAGACGCACUACCUUGAGGUGGUAGCGCCCGAAAGGGUGUACGAGUUCAAAUCUCGUCUUGGGCA
RNAcentral lists this transfer RNA (84 nucleotides) under Chitinophagales bacterium. RNAcentral describes it as "tRNA-Leu". It matches the Rfam family "tRNA". From Rfam's summary of the family: Transfer RNA (tRNA) molecules are approximately 80 nucleotides in length. Their secondary structure includes four short double-helical elements and three loops (D, anti-codon, and T loops). The record is from RNAcentral. Lineage: Bacteria; Pseudomonadati; Bacteroidota; Chitinophagia; Chitinophagales.